This 640-nucleotide long non-coding RNA is filed under the name Salmo salar (Atlantic salmon). RNAcentral's name for it is "lncRNA (ENSSSAG00000106189.1)". Lineage: Eukaryota; Metazoa; Chordata; Actinopteri; Salmoniformes; Salmonidae. The record is from RNAcentral.
GUGAGAGAUGCAGAGAGAGAGAGAGAGUGAGUGAGAGAUGCAGAGAGAGAGAAUGCGAGAGAGAGAGAGAGAGUGAGUGAGAGAUGCAGAGAGAGAGAGAGAGAGGGUGAGAGAUGCAGAGAGAGAGAGAGUGAGUGAGAGAUGCAGAGAGAGAGAGAGAGUGAGUGAGAGAUGCAGAGAGAGAGAGAGUGAGUGAGAGAUGCAGAGAGAGAGAGAGUGAGUGAGAGAUGCAGAGAGAGAGAGAGUGAGUGAGAGAUGCAGAGAGAGAGAGUGAGUGAGAGAUGCAGAGAGAGAGAGAGAGUGAGUGAGAGAUGCAGAGAGAGAGAGAGAGAGUGAGUGAGAGAUGCAGAGAGAGAGAGAGAGAGAGUGAGUGAGAGAUGCAGAGAGAGAGAGAGAGAGUGAGUGAGAGAUGCAGAGAGAGAGAGAGAGUGAGUGAGAGAUGCAGAGAGAGAGAGAGAGUGAGUGAGAGAUGCAGAGAGAGAGAGAGAGUGAGUGAGAGAUGCAGAGAGAGAGAGAGUGAGUGAGAGAUGCAGAGAGAGAGAGAGAGUGAGUGAGAGAUGCAGAGAGAGAGAGAGUGAGUGAGAGAUGCAGAGAGAGAGAGAGUGAGUGAGAGAUGCAGAGAGAGAGAGUGAGUGAGAGA